GAUGAACGCUGGCGGCGUGCCUAAUACAUGCAAGUCGAGCGAACAGACGAGGAGCUUGCUCCUCUGACGUUAGCGGCGGACGGGUGAGUAACACGUGGAUAACCUACCUAUAAGACUGGGAUAACUUCGGGAAACCGGAGCUAAUACCGGAUAAUAUAUUGAACCGCAUGGUUCAAUAGUGAAAGACGGUUUUGCUGUCACUUAUAGAUGGAUCCGCGCCGAAUUAGCUAGUUGGUAAGGUAACGGCUUACCAAGGCAACGAUGCGUAGCCGACCUGAGAGGGUGAUCGGCCAAACUGGAACUGAGACACGGUCCAGACUCCUACGGGAGGCAGAAGUAGGGAAUCUUCCGCAAUGGGCGAAAGCUUGACGGAGCAACGCCGCGUGAGUGAUGAAGGUCUUCGGAUCGUAAAACUCUGUUAUUAGGGAAGAACAAAUGUGUAAGUAACUAUGCACGUCUUGACGGUACCUAAUCAGAAAGCCACGGCUAACUACGUG
Molecule: ribosomal RNA, 497 nt
Filed under: uncultured bacterium
Lineage: Bacteria
Description: partial 16S ribosomal RNA
Rfam family: Bacterial small subunit ribosomal RNA
Source: RNAcentral